CCAGAUAAUUGGAUUGUCGCUGUAAAUAUUACAGAGGAAAGUCCGGGCUCCGUAAGGACACAGUGCCAGUUAACGACUGGCGAGGGUGACCUCAGGGACAGUGCCACAGAAAAUAAACCGCCUAAUCAAGGCAAGGGUGAAAAGGUGUGGUAAGAGCACACCGGGUUUUUGGUAACAAAAACCGCAUGGUAAACCCCACUGGGAGCAAGGCUAAAUAGAGGUAACAAAGCUCUUUUGAGCAAAAAACAGUCUUUAGUUAGUUACCUGGGUUAGCCGCACGAGUUUUGACGUGAGUUAAAACCUAGAUAAAUGACAUCUUCAAUGACAAAACCCGGCUUAUAGAUUAUCUGGCAAC
RNAcentral lists this RNase P RNA (355 nucleotides) under Rickettsiales bacterium TMED174. RNAcentral describes it as "RNase P RNA component class A". It matches the Rfam family "Bacterial RNase P class A". Rfam says of the family: Ribonuclease P (RNase P) is a ubiquitous endoribonuclease, found in archaea, bacteria and eukarya as well as chloroplasts and mitochondria. Its best characterised activity is the generation of mature 5'-ends of tRNAs by cleaving the 5'-leader elements of precursor-tRNAs. RNAcentral also lists the same sequence under 1 other name. The record is from RNAcentral. Lineage: Bacteria; Pseudomonadati; Pseudomonadota; Alphaproteobacteria; Rickettsiales.